Molecule: ribosomal RNA, 372 nt
Filed under: uncultured Glomeromycotina
Lineage: Eukaryota; Fungi; Glomeromycota
Description: eukaryotic LSU rRNA
Source: RNAcentral
UUGAAAGGGAAACGAUUGAAGUCAGUCGUACCUGCGGGUAAUCAGCCUUUUGGGCAUGAUUCUGUGGAGCGUGAGGAGUUAAACGCCUUCAUGCCUGCAUAUUCGUGUACUUUGGGUGUACUUGCCUGUGUGGUUAGUUAACAUCAAUUUUGGUUAUCAUAAAAUGGUUGGAGGAAUGUAGCUUCGAUUUCGAUUGAAGUGUUAUAGCCUUCGGCAGAUGUGAUGAUCGGGAUUGAGGGUUGCAACGGAUACCCUUCGGGGCUACCUGUCUGGUCUCUGAUCGUUGCUUUGGUGCCGAAAGCGUGCUUACGGUUAUCAAAGUCGAUGGUCAAUAGGUUAGAACGGGUUAAAUUCGUUAAGGAUGUUGACGUA